AGCGCGCGAACUUAACCACUCGGCCAAGGGGCCAGCCCCACUUUGUAUUUUAUUUUGAUAGAAAGUCCAAGUCAGUCACUUUGGAUUUAGUGCUAUAGUGAACAUUUUUUGUUGCCUUCUCAAUAAUCCCUUCUCUCUUCCUAGCAGUACCUUGAAUUUCUCAAUUUCAUGGUUUGAGUGGGAUUGACCCCUCCUCCAGCAGCUUCAAGGUUAGGUCCUGACUAGCUUAAGUCAGUCAGUGUGUUUUGGCCCCCUAACCCAAGGAUUGGUUCAUAGAUGAAAACAUGCCUCACUCCAGGCCAAUAAGGUACAAAGAGUCUCAAUUCUCAGAAUUGGUUUGACUUAUUGGGGAAGUAAACUUUUACUUUUCUACUACAGAAUGGGCCUGAAGAAAGUAGCUCCAAACUGUUGGCAACCAUCUUUGUGACCACAUAGAGAGCCUGGUGAAAAUGGAGUCAACAUUGAAAAAGCAGAGCCAAAAACUUGAAGGCGAGAAGCUGGCUACUUGGCCUUGUUCUUGAGCUGUUGGGGUGAACGAAAGCUUGUCUGCUGUAGGACAGGACUCCUAGAAAAGGAUGGAGCCAAAAGCUGGAAGGAGUCUACAUCUCUGAAUGACUGCCCCUCUCUGCAUUGAACUACAAGGCUCUAUGGGAUAGAAGUGGAAACCACAGAGCCGGUCCUGGUGCAGCCAGUGUGGCAACAGUGGAUCCAGUUUCCACAGGCAGCAGCGUUUGUUCCACAGAGAAGAACAUGCCCCAGAUGUUCAUGGCCUCUUCUGCCUGGACCCCAGAUUGAAACAUAUGGAGCAGACACAAACCCACCCUGAACCCUGGAACCACGCCACCUAAUUCUCCGCAGAAGCAGAGCCACUCCAGCUGAUCUGCGACCCUUACAUGAGAAAAGUACACUGCAUGAGCCUUUGAGUUUUGGGUCGUUUGUUACACAACACGAUUGCAGCGAUAGCUGUCUACUACAUUGGUUGAAUUCAGAGGGGCAAAAUGAUAAGAGUAUUCUAGUAGACAGAAUAAUGACCCCCCAAAGAUCUCCGUGUUCUAAUCCUGGAACCUGUGAAUGAUGCCUUCCAAGGCAAAAGGGACUUUGCAGCUGUGACUAAGUUGAGGAUCUUGAGAUGAGUGGGUCACCCUGGUGGGUCCAAUGUAACCUCCAAGGGUCUUUAUAAGAGGAAGGCAGGAGAGGCAGAGUAAGAGAAGGAGAUGUGACAACAGAAGCAGAGGUCAGGGUGAUGAGGCCAUGAGGCAAAAGAUGAGGGCAGGCUCUAGAAGCCGUGAAAGGAGAGCUUUUAGAAGGAAAGCAGCGUGACCAACAUCUUGAUUUUAGUUCUGUGAGAUCUGUUUCAGACUUCUGACCUCUAGCACUGGAAGACAAUAAAGUUGUAUUGCUUUAAGCCACUAAGUUGUGGUAACGGUUACAGCAGCAAUGAGACUAAUACAAAUAUAUUAAGAUUAAAAGGAUAAUUGCUAUUGCUCUCCCUGUUAAAGGAAAAUAUUUAUAUUUAAAAUAAUACACUAUGAAAUCAUCCUACUAAUGCAUUUAGAAAGUAUCCUUUCCUGGAGUCAAUCACCUCAGUGUAUUUCCAUUAACUUUUCACUUAAUGUGAUUGAAGAAUCAAGAUGGUAGCAUUAUCUUUUAAGUAGAUUAUAAUCAUCCUAUGGAAGAAUAAAUGUGUAAUACAUAAAUACUUCACAAUUCAUAUUAACUGCAUAGGGGUGAGGGUGGGGUAAAGCUUGUCCAAAUUAAUAAAAUAUUAAAAAUAUUAAGUACUUUAUGAGAAAUACAGAUUUAUUACUUUUAAGUAAUGCAAGUGACUAAAAUUACAUUAAUGAAGAGCUAGUAGAUGUUGCUAGCUAUUGACGCUUUAAAAAUAUACCUGCAUAUAUCCUACGCACAGAGACUUGGGUUCAAAAAGGACAAAAGGGGUAAGAGGUUGGAGAAUCUGUUUUUUAUAUCUAUUACUAUUAUCUAUUAUUUAUAAUUUGCAAAUAUACUAAAGUAUGGAAUAGUUCUUAACUUUUGGGAGAUUACAUACUCUCGCUAAGAUUUAAUGAUUAUUAUCAUUUUGCUAUAUUUACUUUAUGUGUUUUAAAAACUUUUUUUUUAUUGAGUUAUUGAUAGGUUACAAUCUUGUGAAAUUUCAGUUGUACA
This is a non-coding RNA of Equus caballus (horse), 2163 nucleotides long. Lineage: Eukaryota; Metazoa; Chordata; Mammalia; Perissodactyla; Equidae. The record is from RefSeq and is a predicted model, not a curated record.